CCGGCAUCGCCUCACGCCCCUAGACCUCUGACACUGCAUGGGCAUCUGUGCCCAGCACACAAGUUACAGUGACACACAAGUUAGAGUGAAAUUUUAUUGUGACCUUGAUACAGUUUUUGUGUUCUAGUGAGGCUGAGAAGUAAUGCACCCUAAACAAAAUAAAUAUGCUUAGGGUACCUUAUUUUACCCUACCAAAAUCCAUAUAGCUAUUUUACUGGGGAGAGAUUUCAUAAUUUCCUAUACAUGUUUUUCACAAUGAGCAAACAAUUUUGUUGCUUUCUUUCACUGUUUUCAUGGUAAGGAAAUAUAAAUGUCUUGGUAUGUCAGUUUCUCAUGCAGCCGAAAUCCAUACAUUUUUGUCACUAGUGGUGGCUAUCUGAACAGAUUUCCAGAAAUUAUUUGCUGACAGAGUUCUGACAGGUGAAAAAGUGAAGCUCUGUCAAUCAAAUAUGACAUUUCAUGCAAUUACUUUUUUAAAUGAUAUCUCUCCAUAAAAAGCAUUUCCCAAUUUCUAUUUAUGCUAUGACUCCACUGUUUGUGAAAGGCAUUCUCUGAUCUUGGCUAAUUUUUGCUAGGGUGAUUGGCAAAGAGGCCAGGAUGUGCCUCCAGUGUUUGCUGGGUCGCUGACCUCCAUGUGACUGAUAAGCAUUGGCAAGUUAGCAUGCUACCAGCAGACAGUUAGCUUGGCAGAAAUGUGAACAGGAAGUGGGUAAAUAAUGAAGCAUGUUUUGAUCUUUCUAGACUCCCUUCACCUUGGAAGACAAGCACUGACUUGGUAGCAGUGUUUUGGCUUUUAAGGGUGUAUUCUUCUCCUCUGCCCCAACCCAGUCCUCAGGGUGAGUAGUGUUUCUCAGACUGGCUCAUGGAGUCUGCCAAAUGCACUGCAAGUUUCUACAAUUUUCUGAGCUUCUCAGCCUGGACAAUGCUUCCUCUAAUGUACCAUUCUGAUGAUUCAUCAUGACCUUCUUUCCAGGAGGAAAUAUAAAAGCACUCUUUGGAAAAUAGAACAACGUCAGAGAAUGUGACCAGAAGAGAUGUGUUAGAGCAAAACUAAUCAAACUGCAAUCCUCAUAAGACAAAGCAGGAUAUAUAUAUAUAUUUUUUUAAUUGGACUACUUUUGUAUGUGAUAUUCAGCCAAAAAAUAGGUCCUUCUGAGGAAAAAUAAGACAAAAACAUGAUUUAUUUUAAAUAACAAGUUAUUUCUAUUUCUCUGCCAACACUAACUUUUUUCAAGGAAGGAAAUUGUUUGUACAGAGAAUCCUAAACCAGUUGCACUGUAAAACUCAGAGAAAAGUCUAAAAAGUACCUUUUUAUUCCA
RNAcentral lists this long non-coding RNA (1319 nucleotides) under Anas platyrhynchos platyrhynchos (common mallard). Its description in RNAcentral is "lncRNA (ENSAPLG00000019828.1)". The record is from RNAcentral. Lineage: Eukaryota; Metazoa; Chordata; Aves; Anseriformes; Anatidae.